UCAGCCCUGGAUUCCCAGGUUCUCACAUUCAUUGACCAGCACUAACACAGCACUUGCCAUGGACUUCAAGCUCAGCUUGAUUUUCCUUGUCCUUAUGUCAAGAGGGGUACAGUGUGAUGUGCAGCUGGUGGAGUCUGGGGGAGGCUUAGUGCAGCCUGGAGUGUCCCUGAAACUCUCAUGUGCAGCUUCGGGAUUCACUUUUGAUGACUAUGGGAUGGCAUGGAUCCGCCAGGCUCCAAAGAAGGGGCUGGAGUGGGUGGCAACCAUUAAUUGGAAUGGUGAUAACACCUACUAUCCAGACACCUUGAAAGGCCGAUUCACAAUCUCCAGAGACAAUGCAAAAAAUGCCCUACACCUGCAAAUGAGCAAUCUGAGGUCUGAGGACACGGCCAUAUAUUACUGUGCAAGAGGCACAAUGAGUGAAUAUUACUGUGAACUCAAACAGAAACCUCCUGCAAAGCACUUGGGACCAGGAGAGGGCGCAGAGAGCACACAAAGCUCCUAG
This is a non-coding RNA of Grammomys surdaster, 505 nucleotides long. Lineage: Eukaryota; Metazoa; Chordata; Mammalia; Rodentia; Muridae. The record is from the annotation of a RefSeq genome assembly.